CGCACACGCCGCGUGAGGAUGAAAUCCCUUGGGAUGUAAACUCCUUUCGAUCGGGACGAUUAUGACGGUACCGGAAGAAGAAGCCCCGGCUAACUUCGUGCAGCAGCGCGUAUACGAGGGGGGCAAGCGUUGUUCGGAAUUAUUGGGCGUAAAGGGAGCGUAGCGGUUUUGUAAGUCGUGUGUGAAAUCUUCGGGCUCAACCCGAAGUCUGCACACGAAACUGCAGGGCUUGAGUUAUUGGGAGAG
Molecule: ribosomal RNA, 246 nt
Filed under: uncultured bacterium
Lineage: Bacteria
Description: partial 16S ribosomal RNA
Rfam family: Bacterial small subunit ribosomal RNA
Source: RNAcentral